AUUGAACGCUGGCGGCAGGCUUAACACAUGCAAGUCGAACGAGUGGCGGACGGGUGAGUAAUGUCUGGGAACCUGCCCGAUGGAGGGGGAUAACUACUGGAAACGGUAGCUAAUACCGCAUACCAUUGGAUGUGCCCAUAUGGGAUUAGCUAGUGGGUGGGGUAACGGCUCACCAAGGCAACGAUCCCUAGCUGGUCUGAGAGGAGGACCAGCCACACUGGAACUGAGACACGGGCCAGACUCCUACGGGAGGCAGCAGUGGGGAAUAUUGCACAAUGGGCGAAAGCCUGAGGCAGCCAUGCCGCGUGUAUGAAGAAGGCCUUCGGGUUGUAAAGUGCUUUCAGCGGGGAGGCGUUACUCGCAGAAGAAGCACCGGCUAACUACGUGCCAGCAGCCGCGGUAAUUC
RNAcentral lists this ribosomal RNA (406 nucleotides) under uncultured bacterium. Its description in RNAcentral is "partial 16S ribosomal RNA". It matches the Rfam family "Bacterial small subunit ribosomal RNA", at positions 30 to 526 of the family's 1533-position model. The record is from RNAcentral.